AUGGAGUCAAGAUCCGGGCGUCGUCGACUCCGUUCGUCCCCGCAGAUUGCUGGUGCUCCGAUGGAGGUGAGGCCGGGGCGUCGCCUGCGUUCCGCGCAGCCGCAGCUGUGUAGCCCAAGAGGCGGUGGCGGCGAGCCGGAUCACAUCAGCUUCCUCCCGCAGGAGCUCCUCCUCCUAAUCCUCACCCUCAUGGGAUGCGCUGCAACCGCCGCUCGCACCAGCGUCCUCUCGCGCCGGUGGCGCGAUCUCUGGACGCAUCUCCGCCAAAUCUCCUUCAACAACCUCGCGCCGUCGAUUGCAGCGGCGCUCGGCCGUGUCCGUGGCCCCCCGGCCGCGGCCGCGGUCUCCCUCCUGGAAGUCCGCAUCCCCAGCAGCAUCAGACAUCCCGGACCCGUCGGCACCACGGCCACCAGGCUGCUCCGUGCCGCUGUGCGGCUGGAGCCGGAGGAGAUCGUCCUCAGCUUCCCGUGGGGCGUAGAAUUCCAAGACCGGCGGAACCUCGUCCGGCUGCCGUGCUUCCAGCGGACCAAAUCUCUCAUGAUGGAAAGGCUUCUCUUCUACUGCCCCGACGGCGAGUUCACCGCGCUCCGGACGCUGUCCAUCUCCUACGGCCUGGGCGGCCUCCACAGCUUGCUCCCCCGAUGCCCGCACCUCCUCGUGCUCAGCCUCAAGUUUGUCAACGAUGGCUUCGGACUUGUCCAGAACGGGUCGAUCUCACUCCACCUGCCAUUGCUGCAGGAACUUUUCCUUGAAAGCAGCAUAAUGUACGCAGAUGCAGUCGACAUCGUCGCCCCUCUGCUGAAGCGACUCACGGUGUCCUUCGGCACAUACAAGCUGGUCAGCAGCUUCUCCGUCUCGGCGCCGAUGCUGGAGAAGGUUUCGUGGCAUUCGUGGUAUUUGGGGGACGGGAGCAUCGUCCGGUUUGGUCGUUGGAGCCUCCAGAAGUUGUGGCUACACACAGGAAAUACACAGGGGCAGCUUCCUUCUUCGCUCCACAUUAGUGCCUCUGCCUCCAAUAGCUCCUGGUUUACUUCCAAUGAAGACAACUUUGCCCAGGAGAUAGAGAAGCACCUGGUUGCUGAUUUCUCUCUUUUGGAGCUACGUCUCCUCAAAGCCGGACAUGUUUUUGGAGCACUGGUGUUUCAUCUCCUUGGGAUCACCCGUAUUUCUAGAGGUAUACAGAGGCUUAAGAUCGUCCUAGAGAGAUCGCGCUGA
RNAcentral lists this ribosomal RNA (1215 nucleotides) under Triticum aestivum (bread wheat). RNAcentral describes it as "partial small subunit ribosomal RNA". The record is from RNAcentral. Lineage: Eukaryota; Viridiplantae; Streptophyta; Magnoliopsida; Poales; Poaceae.